GAAGCCCUGAAUGAAGGCCAACAGUUUGCUGUAGCUGUUCGUUUCAAGCAGUGGCUAAUAUCAAAUCUUCUAUUGGUCUGUUGCCUUUUCCCAACUAUCUAAUGGGUUAAGCAGAUUCAAUAGAAGGAACAUUU
This is a small nucleolar RNA of Triplophysa dalaica, 134 nucleotides long. NCBI's taxonomy places the organism in Eukaryota, Metazoa, Chordata, Actinopteri, Cypriniformes, Nemacheilidae. The record is from RefSeq and is a predicted model, not a curated record.